AUUGAACGCUGGCGGCAGGCUUAACACAUGCAAGUCGAGCGGGGUGAUGGUGCUUGCACUAUCACUUAGCGGCGGACGGGUGAGUAAUGCUUAGGAAUCUGCCUAUUAGUGGGGGACAACAUCUCGAAAGGGAUGCUAAUACCGCAUACGUCCUACGGGAGAAGGCAGGGGAUCACUUGUGACCUUGCGCUAAUAGAUGAGCCUAAGUCGGAUUAGCUAGUUGGUGGGGUAAAGGCCUACCAAGGCGACGAUCUGUAGCGGGUCUGGGAGGAUGAUCCGCCACACUGGGACUGGGACACGGCGCAGACUCCUACGGGAGGCAGCAGUGGGGAAUAUUGGACAAUGGGGGGAACCCUGAUCCAGCCAUGCCGCGUGUGUGAAGAAGGCCUUAUGGUUGUAAAGCACUUUAAGCGAGGAGGAGGCUCUUUUGGUUAAUACCCAAGAUGAGUGGACGUUACUCGCAGAAUAAGCACCGGCUAACUCUGUGCCAGCAGCCGCCGUAA
RNAcentral lists this ribosomal RNA (503 nucleotides) under uncultured bacterium. Its description in RNAcentral is "partial 16S ribosomal RNA". It matches the Rfam family "Bacterial small subunit ribosomal RNA", at positions 30 to 523 of the family's 1533-position model. The record is from RNAcentral.